Molecule: ribosomal RNA, 465 nt
Filed under: uncultured bacterium
Lineage: Bacteria
Description: bacterial SSU rRNA
Rfam family: Bacterial small subunit ribosomal RNA
Source: RNAcentral
GGGCCCGCACAAGCGGAGGAACAUGUGGUUUAAUUCGAUGAUACGCGAGGAACCUUACCUGGGCUUAAAUGUAGGCUGCAUUCCGCUGAAAGGUGGAUUUCCGCAAGGACUGCUUACAAGGUGCUGCAUGGUUGUCGUCAGCUCGUGCCGUGAGGUGUCGGGUUAAGUCCCAUAACGAGCGCAACCCCUACCGUUAGUUGCCAUCAGGUCAUGCUGGGAACUCUAGCGGGACUGCCACCGUAAGGUGAGAGGAAGGUGGGGAUGACGUCAAAUCAGCACGGCCCUUAUGUCCAGGGCUACACACGUGUUACAAUGGCAGGUACAAAGGGCAGCUACACCGCGAGGUGAUGCUAAUCUCUAAAGCCUGUCUCAGUUCGGAUCGCAGUCUGAAACCCGACUGCGUGAAGUUGGAUUCGCUAGUAAUCGCGCAUCAGCCAUGGCGCGGUGAAUACGUUCCCGGGCCUU